This 468-nucleotide ribosomal RNA is filed under the name uncultured bacterium. RNAcentral's name for it is "partial 16S ribosomal RNA". It matches the Rfam family "Bacterial small subunit ribosomal RNA", at positions 28 to 507 of the family's 1533-position model. The record is from RNAcentral.
GACGAACGCUGGCGGCGUGCUUAACACAUGCAAGUCGAACGGAAAGGCCCUGCUUUUGUGUGGUGCUCGAGUUGCGAACGGGUGAGUAACACGUGAGUAACCUGCCUUUUACUGUGGGAUAACUUGAGGAAACUGGAGCUAAUACCGGAUAGGAGCUGCUGCUGCAUGGUGGUGGUUGGAAAGUUUCGACUGUUGGGGGUGGAGUUGGGGCUUAUGAGCUCGUGGGGGGGGGAGUGGCUUAGGAAGGCUUUGGCGGCUAGCCGGCCUGGGAGGGUGACCGGGCACAGUGGGCCUGGGGUAGGGGCCAGAGGGAAACGGGAGGCAGGGGUGGGGAAUAGUGCACAAUGGGCGGAGGCCUGAUGCAGCAAUUCCGGGUGGGGGAGGACGGUUUUAGGGGUGGAAAGCGCUUUAGCGUGUGACGAAGCGUGAGUGACGGUAAUGGGUAAAGAAGCACCGGCUAACUACGUG